RNAcentral lists this non-coding RNA (218 nucleotides) under Megaselia scalaris. The record is from RNAcentral. Lineage: Eukaryota; Metazoa; Arthropoda; Insecta; Diptera; Phoridae.
CUAUCAGCCUAUCGCUAUGGUGCCUUCAGCCUCCUCUUGCCGGGAUGCUGCAAGGCUAAGAGGGAAACCGGUUAAAAGCCGGUGCUGCCCCCGCAACUGUGCGCUGUGAGGUUUUUUGGAAACAUGACGCCACUGAAUACCCCUUCGGGUGUUCGGGAAGGUAUCCAUCACACCGUUGACCAGCAAGCCAGGAGACCUGCCAUUGCAGAAAAGUCACG